GGCGGACGUAGCCAAGUGGAUUAAGGCAGUGGAUUGUGGAUCCUCCAUGCGCGGGUUCAAUUCC
Molecule: transfer RNA, 64 nt
Filed under: Frullania gaudichaudii
Lineage: Eukaryota; Viridiplantae; Streptophyta; Jungermanniopsida; Porellales; Frullaniaceae
Also listed under: 2 other names
Description: partial tRNA-His
Rfam family: tRNA
About the family: Transfer RNA (tRNA) molecules are approximately 80 nucleotides in length.
Source: RNAcentral